RNAcentral lists this ribosomal RNA (255 nucleotides) under uncultured bacterium. RNAcentral's name for it is "partial 16S ribosomal RNA". It matches the Rfam family "Bacterial small subunit ribosomal RNA", at positions 524 to 776 of the family's 1533-position model. The record is from RNAcentral.
UACAGAGGGUGCGAGCGUUAAUCGGAAUUACUGGGCGUAAAGCGCACGUAGGCGCGUAACAAGUCACUUGUGAAAUCAUCCCGGGCUUAACCCGGAGCGGCCAAGUGAUACUGUUGUGCUAGAGUGCGGAAGGGGCUACUGGAAUUCUCGGUGUAGCGGUGAAAUGCGUAGAUAUCUGGAGGACACGGUGGCGAAGGCGGCAUCCUGGACCGGUAUUGACACUGGAGGCGCGAAAGCCAGGGGAGCGAAAACGGG